Molecule: ribosomal RNA, 287 nt
Filed under: uncultured bacterium
Lineage: Bacteria
Description: partial 16S ribosomal RNA
Rfam family: Bacterial small subunit ribosomal RNA
Source: RNAcentral
GGAUUAGAUACCCUGGUAGUCCACGCCGUAAACGAUGCUAACUCGUUUUUGGGUUUUCGGAUUCAGAGACUAAGCGAAAGUGAUAAGUUAGCCACCUGGGGAGUACGUUCGCAAGAAUGAAACUCAAAGGAAUUGACGGGGGCCCGCACAAGCGGUGGAUUAUGUGGUUUAAUUCGAUGAUACGCGAGGAACCUUACCAAGACUUAAAUGGGAAUUGACAGAUUUAGAAAUAGAUCCUCCUUCGGGCAAUUUUCAAGGUGCUGCAUGGUUGUCGUCAGCUCGUGCCG